Scatophagus argus is the source of this 2733-nucleotide long non-coding RNA. RefSeq lists it as uncharacterized. NCBI's taxonomy places the organism in Eukaryota, Metazoa, Chordata, Actinopteri, Scatophagidae. The transcript has 3 exons. The record is from RefSeq and is a predicted model, not a curated record.
UAAAAACUCGAGCAAUUUAUUGCAUUUCGAUGAAGGUGAGAAACUCAUAAAGGGCUGAUUAAAACACAACAAUCCAAAUGAAAGCAUCAGUAGCCGAGAUAUCUUAACUUUUAGCAUGAGUCAGUCUCCAAAAACACUGGAUUCUACGUUACCUUUCACAACUCAAUAGCAUCUUUCAUUAGACCCUCACAGCCUUCUUGUUACGCUGGCUUCAUAUGAAAGAUUUUAGGCCUCAAGGCCAAGCUGAGAGAACAAAAAAUCAUGUGCUUUGUUAAACUCCGAAAAGCUCCCUCCAGAGCUGCAGAAGACAUGAUGAAUGUGUGUGCACAAACUGAGUAGAACUACCCCAGACAAAUACACUGAAACGUAUAGCAGAGUGUCCCAUACCUAAGCCAUGAAUAAUUGUUAGAAAACGAUGCGUGUGCUGGUGAAAUUGUCAUUUAUUUAGUGUCAGAUACAUUUAAAUCCAUAAAAAAGCCUCCUAUUAGUCAUAUCAUAAGCUUCAAUGCUAAUGCUAUCUCAUCCUCUGUGUCUCUAAUGUGUUGGAGAACAUGGAGAGAUGUAACAUAUUAAACAUGUUGGAACUGGCAUUUUUAAAGCUCACACUGAUCUAAUACUAAAGAAAGCAGUAUAAUAAACUGGAACCACAUGUGCACUGGUGUCAGCAGGUGAAAAAUGAUGUCUCUCUUAGUGACCCAGUUACCAGCUUCUCUGACUUCUCUAGCACAUUUAGCCGAUGCAGCUUUUCUUAUUAAUAUUAAAUAAUUAAUGAAUGCACAUGAAUUUUACAUCUUUUUUUUGUUCAUUAGGUGCUGUGAGAUUUGGGGAGGGGAGGAGGCAGCGGUCUGGAAACCUUACAAGGAUGCCCCGGGGGAGGUCACAUGGGGUCAGCUCUCUGCAGCCAAAAGCUUGGCAGGGCUGGGAUUUGGAAUAUGCCUGCCGCCUGUGCGAUCCCAUUUCCCGUCCUGAACAUUGGGUUCUCCCAGUCAUAUCGAGGGUCCAACACUCUGAUGCCAGUGACCACGAAGUACCCCCAGAGAUCCUGUGUUUCUUCCCCUGACUGGUCAGAGUCGUUUUGGCAGCACAAGGAGGACCUACAAAAUGUUAAGCAGUUCUUAUUAAUGUUGCGGCUGAUUGGUGCAUACCCCUGACACAUGACGGAUGUUCGCUCCAGCUGUACAUGCACUAAAUUGAGUAAAAACAUUAUGCUUAUCCUUGUAUGACACCUUCACAGCUGGGCCAGUUGCUUUAAAAGCACUUUUAUGUAGCUUACCAGCACCUGUAAUAUCUUCUUUGUUAUUUCUGUGUAGCAUUAUGUGAUUUACGUACAGACUAAUUCACAAUGUAGCACUUUAUAAGAAGCCUGCCGAUUUCCUAAAUCUAACCAAUGUAGUAUCUCAAAUUGCAAAUACUAUUAAAUCUUCUCGUCAUGCGCUGAUAUUUCUAUGCGGCUAAAAAAAUAGAGUAGGUUUCAUUUGAUGCAAUAGGGACACCAUGUGGAAAGCAUCUGCCACUCCAUUUAAAAUAUGCCACCAUAUGUCGAGGAAAAAUGUCAGGGCACCCAAAGGGAGGUCGGAAAAGAUAAUUUAAUCUCAGAGUCAGGUACAGCAGGGUCAGUGGAGACCAGUUCACACUGCUGAUCCAUGGAAAAGAAGCAUAUACAUAUCUGACACAGAGUGUGAGUAAUAAUUCUAAAAGCGAUAACUAAUGAGCAAAAUGCUGAACGAUCUGUACAGAGGAAGAUUCGAUGUUUAAGAAUCACUGACAGAGCCAGCGUGAAAUGCCAAGCGGAAAUUUUGUCAGUUUAAUGAAGAAAUCCUCAAAGGUCGCUUACACAGAUGAUGACAUUUACAUUCUGCCAUCUGAAGACGCUGCAGAUCAUCUUUGGUUUUCUACUGAACGCAACAUAAUCAGCGAUAUUUUCCUGACCUUUAAACAACAAGUGCUUUUGAUAACAAUGUUUUAUAAGGCACAGUAAACUGUUUAUGCCUCUGCGACAUGUUUACAAAACCUGAGUAUCAUGCUCUCAAUCUGAAAACACACAACAACACUGUACAUUUGGGCUCUUUGGUUUGCCUGUUGAGUCAUAUAUGAGGCCAGUGUUGAUCUGUACAAUGUCCCAACAUGCCACUAAAAUGUAUUCCUUGUAAUUUGCUCAAAAUCAUAGUUAAAGCAUCUUGUACUACUAAGAUUGUUACUGGGACUACACACUCAUUCAUGAAAUCUUUCUGUGUCAGUAGUGGAAAAGAACCAGUGUAAUCCAAUUAGCAGAAUUAAAGAGACGCCAUUAAAAAAAAAUGGGGCCGCAUGUAACAGCGUCAGGGAUUAGAGACCUGCUGAACCCAUGUGACCUGGGUCAUGGCGAGGAGGAGCCGUCCUUGACAUGCUGAAGUCACAGCUGACAUGCAGAAUAGAUUAUUUUUAGUAAUGAAAUUAGAGUUUUCAUGUGGUUUUAAAUAUGGCCAAAUGCAAAAGGGCAUCACAAAGUUGUAUGAAUUACCAAAAACAAUAUGAGUUGCUAGUUUGAAGGAAUUUGAAUUUUUUUUAACAUGCUGGCUGUCACAAAUAAAUAAUACACACAGACAAAAAGCAGAGAUCCUGACCAGAAGUUAAACCAUAAGGGUGAUAAGAGUGCAAUAAGAGUGUGUAAAGAUUCACAGUCAAAAUACACUAUUAAAUAAAACAAGGAUGUUUAUAAAGUGAUAUGGGACAGGGAAUAAGGAGCAAAUUGUC